CCGGCAGCCGCCAUGAUGGGGAGGUCGGAGCAGCCUCGGCGCGGCGCGGCGGGGUCCGGACUGGGCCGGGGGGUCCGGGGGUCGUCCGCGGCCUGGCUCGCCCCCGCUUUUAGCUCGGCAGAGCCCUGCUGGCUUGUGGUGCUAUUGGGAAUCGAACCUGGGACACCAGAACCUCAAGCACUUAUCAUUAUACUAUCUCCUCAGCCCAAAGUUUAUUGCUAGGACUCGGUGCCUACACUAUGAAUCCACUGCUCCUGGAGGCCUUUUUUUUCCC
Molecule: long non-coding RNA, 274 nt
Organism: Erinaceus europaeus (western European hedgehog)
Lineage: Eukaryota; Metazoa; Chordata; Mammalia; Eulipotyphla; Erinaceidae
Exons: 3
Source: RefSeq, a predicted model, not a curated record